AGCUCACUCCUUGCUAGUCUUAUUUCUAAAUGUUUUAGCAUGGAACCUCUUACGAGUUGACCUAACCUCUCUUGAGCUUCAUUACCAUUCUCUACACAUCAAUACUUCACGAUUUCUUCCACUCAUUUUAGCCACCAAAUCCCACCAAAUUUCACACCCAAAAAAUAUAAAACAAAAGACAUAAAACCAUGCAAACUAGGAUUGCAUCACAAGACUUCAAC
This 221-nucleotide long non-coding RNA is filed under the name Phaseolus vulgaris (common bean). RNAcentral's name for it is "long non-coding RNA (PVUL_LNC003795)". The record is from RNAcentral. Lineage: Eukaryota; Viridiplantae; Streptophyta; Magnoliopsida; Fabales; Fabaceae.